Molecule: RNA transcript, 1254 nt
Organism: Eriocheir sinensis (Chinese mitten crab)
Lineage: Eukaryota; Metazoa; Arthropoda; Malacostraca; Decapoda; Varunidae
Exons: 4
Source: RefSeq, a predicted model, not a curated record
CUCUGUGGUAGAUAGUGGAGUGUUUCCCAUGUGGUAUUGGUGUGCUGGAUAUCCCUUCACUGGUAGCUUGGUAACAUACACUCCCAGGUCUUUCUCUGUCUCUGUGGUGGAUAGUGGAGUGUUUCCCAUGUGGUAUUGGUGUGCUGGAUAUCCCUUCACUGGUAGCUUGGUAACAUACACUCCCAGGUCUUUCUCUGCCUCUGUGGUGGAUAGUGGAGUGUUUCCCAUGUGGUAUUGGUGUGCUGGAUAUUCCUUCACUGGUAGCCUGGUAACAUACACUCCCAGGUCUUUCUCUGCCUCUGUGGUGGAUAGUGGAGUGUUUCCCAAGUGGUAUUGGUGUGCUGGAUAUCCCUUCACCGGUAGCCUGGUAACAUACACUCCCAGGUCUUUCUCUGCCUCUGUGGUGGAUAGUGGAGUGUUUCCCAAGUGGUAUUGGUGUGCUGGAUAUCCCUUCACUGGUAGCCUGGUAACAUACACUCCCAGGUCUUUCUCUGCCUCUGUGGUGGAUAGUGGAGUGUUUCCCAAGUGGUAUUGGUGUGCUGGAUAUCCCUUCACUGGUAGCCUGGUAACAUACACUCCCAGGUCUUUCUCUGCCUCUGUGGUGGAUAGUGGAGUGUUUCCCUUGUGGUAUUGGUGUGCUGGAUAUCCCUUCACUGGUAGCCUGGUAACAUACACUCCCAGGUCUUUCUCUGCCUCUGUGGUGGAUAGUGGAGUGUUUCCUAUGUGGUAUUGAUGUGCUGGAUAUCCCUUCACUGGUAGCCUGGUAACAUACACUCCCACGUCUUUCUCUGCCUCUGUGGUGGAUAGUGGAGUGUUUCCUAUGUGGUAUUGGUGUGCUGGAUAUCCCUUCACUGGUAGCCUGGUUACAUACACUCCCAGGUCUUUCUCUGCCUUUGUGGUGGAUAGUGGAGUGUUUCCCUUGUGGUAUUGGUGUGCUGGAUAUCCCUUCACUGGUAGCCUGGUAACAUACACUCCCAGGUCUUUCUCUGCCUCUGUGGUGGAUAGUGGAGUGUUUCCCAUGUGGUAUUGGUGUGCUGGAUAUCCCUUCACUGGUAGCUUGGUAACAUACACUCCCAGGUCUUUCUCUGUCUCUGUGGUGGAUAGUGGAGUGUUUCCCAUGUGGUAUUGGUGUGCUGGAUAUCCCUUCACUGGUGGCCUGGUAACAUACACUCCCAAGUCUCUCUCUGCCUCUGUGGUGGAUAGUGGAGUGUUUCCCAUGUGGCAUUGAUGUGCUGGAUAUCCCUUCACUGGUAG